RNAcentral lists this long non-coding RNA (390 nucleotides) under Homo sapiens (human). Its description in RNAcentral is "HSALNT0325247". Lineage: Eukaryota; Metazoa; Chordata; Mammalia; Primates; Hominidae. The record is from RNAcentral.
UUCAUGAUCCUUCUUUUAAGAGCUGCAUGGAUUUGGAGUCUUAUCCUCACUAGAAGAGAGGAAUGCACCCAAUGGAAAAGAGGAGAGCAACCAAAGUCUAAGCUAAGAGCAUAGUUUCAUAUAUCCAAAACAUCAUUCACUGUUAAAUCCAGGAAACAUCCUUGGAUUUGGAAAUUAUGGAAGGAGAAAUUAUUAUUGGAACUGUACUGAACCUUUAGCUCAAUUAAGGUUACAAUUACAGCUCUUAAUGUUUGGACAUCAUUGAAGUAUGUACGUCUAUCAGAAAUUAAUGCCUUCAGACAGGUGGAAGAGACACUAGAAUAGCACAUACUGUGACCACUUAUUAGCAACAUCACGCAGGUCCAGAUAAAUCGAAGAAUGUUUUGUAGA